RNAcentral lists this long non-coding RNA (614 nucleotides) under Nicotiana benthamiana. RNAcentral's name for it is "long non-coding RNA (NBEN_LNC024147)". The record is from RNAcentral. Lineage: Eukaryota; Viridiplantae; Streptophyta; Magnoliopsida; Solanales; Solanaceae.
CGCACUUAAAAGCCGAGUACUCUACCGUUGAGUUAGCAACCCGAAGAAAAUAUCGAAGAAAACGCCCUGGCGUAUGUUUCCGAAUCAACUGCAUCGUAAGCUGCUAUAGCUCUUGCCAACUACCCUGGAAAUGAAAAAGAAACUCUAUCCUCAACCCUUCCAAUCCUUAGUUCAUGGUGGCAACUUCACCCCGUGCAUCCUUUGGUUGUGAGCCCCGCCUAGAGGGAGGCGCUAAGGGAAGGGCGUAGCGUUAAAUCUGCCUCGCCUUUCAGAGGUUUUCCACCCUUCUGUUGAGCACCAAUUGGAAAUCCAAUCUGACUUCUAAAACGGAAGUGAGCACAGGUGAGAGGACCCCACUUUCCCGCAUUCCUCUCCCCACGAGCAGAACACCAGAGAUGCACAGCACGUGGGCCUUGUCUAACGAACGACGACUUUCGAUUCUUCACUUCAAGGAGUAGAGUCGCUGCCCAACCCUACCUAUAUAAAAGAAAAAGAAUCGAUCACUAGGUCCCGAGCAAUUCUACCUUCUUUCCAUUAUCCAACGCUCAUGCGUCCCCUUUCUCCCACUCUUUUAAAGCUUUCAAUAAAGCCUUCUUAGCUGUGGAAGCAGCAAC